UGUGUGUGUGUGUGUGUGUGUGUGUGUGUGUGUGUAAGGAGCUGCAUGAGGUCAUGAUAUAUUUUUAGAUGUGUGUGUAAUGGCUCCGGUGGUGAGGAGGUGGCAGUCUAGAGUAGCCAAGUGUAUACACACACACACACACACACACACACACACACACACACACACACACACACACACUGCUUGCUCUUUCAUCCAAGCAUCCCACAGAGUCUUAUCUCCUUCUUCCUUCUGCUUCUUUUUCCACUCCCUCAGUAGAAGUCCAUGUGUUCGUGUCAUUAUUGUUGUGAUCACGAUUUUCAUGACCUUCUGAUCAGGGCUUUGGUCUUGCUCGGGUCCUGGUGCAGCUGAUUUCUUCGGUGAAGCUCCUGGAAAUGAAGUAUGAUUUCCAGGUGGCCGAGUUGAGCCUCAGCCUCUGCAAUCCGUCUCGCUCUGUCUUGCUCCUCCUCAUCCGAGGUUCUCCCAGUAACCGGAGGGAGUCCUUUGCUCUGCAGCAUCUCCAACAG
Molecule: long non-coding RNA, 506 nt
Organism: Silurus meridionalis
Lineage: Eukaryota; Metazoa; Chordata; Actinopteri; Siluriformes; Siluridae
Exons: 3
Source: RefSeq, a predicted model, not a curated record